GACGAACGCUGGCGGCGUGCCUAACACAUGCAAGUCGAGCGGGGUUGAAGCGAGGGGUAACUCGAACUUCUACCUAGCGGCGGACGGGUGAGUAACGCGUGGGCAACCUGCCUCAAGGUCUGGGAUAACAGCUCGAAAGGGCUGCUAAUACCGGAUAUGCCUAUAGCCUCGCAUGGGGCUAUGAGCAAAGGGGAAACCCGCCUUGAGAUGGGCCCGCGUCCCAUCAGCUAGUUGGUGAGGUGAAGGCUCACCAAGGCGACGACGGGUAGCCGGCCUGAGAGGGUGACCGGCCACACUGGGACUGAGACACGGCCCAGACUCCUACGGGGGGCAGCAGUGGGGAAUCUUGCACAAUGGGCGAAAGCCUGAUGCAGCGACGCCGCGUGAGCGAAGAAGGCCUUCGGGUUGUAAAGCUCUGUCUGGAGGGACGAAGAAAGUGACGGUACCUCCGGAGGAAGCCACGGCUAACUACGUG
Molecule: ribosomal RNA, 475 nt
Filed under: uncultured bacterium
Lineage: Bacteria
Description: bacterial SSU rRNA
Rfam family: Bacterial small subunit ribosomal RNA
Source: RNAcentral